RNAcentral lists this ribosomal RNA (253 nucleotides) under uncultured bacterium. RNAcentral's name for it is "partial 16S ribosomal RNA". It matches the Rfam family "Bacterial small subunit ribosomal RNA", at positions 524 to 776 of the family's 1533-position model. The record is from RNAcentral.
UACGGAGGGUGCAAGCGUUAAUCGGAAUUACUGGGCGUAAAGCGCACGCAGGUGGCUGAGUCAGUCGAUUGUGAAAGCCCCGGGCUCAACCUGGGAACAGCGCUUGAGACUGGCACGCUCGAGUUCGGGAGAGGAUGGUGGAAUUCCCAGUGUAGAGGUGAAAUUCGUAGAUAUUGGGAAGAACACCGAUGGCGAAGGCAGCCAUCUGGACCGACACUGACGCUGAGGCGCGAAAGCGUGGGGAGCAAACAGG